AGUGAACGCUGGCGGUAGGCCUAACACAUGCAAGUCGAACGGCAGCACAGUAAGAGCUUGCUCUUACGGGUGGCGAGUGGCGGACGGGUGAGGCAUACAUCGGAAUCUACUUUUUCGUGGGGGAUAACGUAGGGAAACUUACGCUAAUACCGCAUACGACCUACGGGUGAAAGCAGGGGUUCUUCGGACCUUGCGCGACUGAAUGAGCCGAUGUCGGAUUAGCUAGUUGGCGGGGUAAAGGCCCACCAAGGCGACGAUCCGUAGCUGGUCUGAGAGGAUGAUCGGCCACACUGGAACUGAGACACGGUCCAGACUCCUACGGGAGGCAGCAGUGGGGAAUAUUGGACAAUGGGCGCAAGCCUGAUCCAGCCAUACCGCGUGAGUGAAGAAGGCCUUCGGGUUGUAAAGCCCUUUUGUUGGGAAAGAAAAGCAGCAGGUUAAUACCCCGCUGUUCUGACGGUACCCAAAGAGUAAGCACCGGCUAACUUCGUG
This 492-nucleotide ribosomal RNA is filed under the name uncultured bacterium. RNAcentral describes it as "partial 16S ribosomal RNA". It matches the Rfam family "Bacterial small subunit ribosomal RNA", at positions 29 to 507 of the family's 1533-position model. The record is from RNAcentral.